RNAcentral lists this ribosomal RNA (460 nucleotides) under uncultured bacterium. RNAcentral's name for it is "bacterial SSU rRNA". It matches the Rfam family "Bacterial small subunit ribosomal RNA", at positions 31 to 500 of the family's 1533-position model. The record is from RNAcentral.
GAACGCUGGCGGUGCGCCUUAUGCAUGCAAGUCGAGCGAAGCUUUUCAGUAGUUUACUACAGAAAAUGACUGAGCGGCGAACGGGUGAGUAACGCGUGAGCAAUCUACCUUAGUUACAGGGAUAGCCCGAGGAAACUCGGAUUAAUACCUGAUAUUCUUUAAAUUUCGCAUGAAAUUAAAAGGAAAGGUCAGCCGAACUAAGAUGAGCUCGCGUUCUAUCAGCUAGUUGGAGAGGUAAAAGCUCACCAAGGCUACGACGGAUAGCUGGACUGAGAGGACGAUCAGCCACACUGGGACUGAGACACGGCCCAGACUCCUACGGGAGGCUGCAGCAGGGAAUAUUGCGCAAUGAGCGAAAGCUUGACGCAGCGACACCGCGUGUGGGAUGACGGAUCUAGGUUUGUAAACCACUUUCAGGAGGGAAGAAAAUGACGGUACCUCCACAAGAAGCCCCGGCCAA